UUACCCCUCGCCUUAUCGACACUACAUCAGACGCCAUCAAACCCACAUCUCUUAUAUCUCUCUCCUUACUCGCUUCAGUUUCUGGUGGACCUUCAGCGUACCACCUCCUUCCUCACCCUCCUUCCGCCGCCGCUGCAACCUAUAGAAGGUCACCGAACAUCCCUUCCCCCAUUAACUAUCAUGUUCUCAAUCAAAUCCUCAUCCUUAUUCAACCUUACUCUAUGCGAAAAACCUAGACCACUAAACAUAGUCGUUAUCAAUGGUUUACUAACAUCCAUCACACAGGCAACAUACCACCACAAAUUCUCCGCCCUCAUCACCCAGAACAUUUGGGAGAUGAUUCAUCUACUCCACUUCUAAAGUUGAACACGAUAAUCAAAGAACCAGGGAGCAAAUUAGGAAUUAGAUUUAGUAACUUAAUUUCUUUCUGGGAAAGAAAAUGAAUCAGGGUGAGAUUAGCCCUGUUACAUGUUGGAUUUUAUCACUCACAUGCCCUUUUUCAAGUUGUUUUAGGUAUGGAUUGUUCAAAUUCUCCUGAUGUUGGUUUUUUCUUGGCUUAUUGUCGUAUUGGGAAUUUUAAUGUUGUAUACAAAUAAAUAGUUUCUAUUGUUAUGUUUACAUUCAGAUUAGCUUUUCGAUCUACUGAAUUGUAGGCAAAUAAAUAGAGAUAAUCAUGUAAGCUUUUAUUGGUUUGUUGAAUGACGAAAUUAUAAAGGGGUCAAGGCUAUAAAGUGUUUGCUCACCAUUUUCUCAGGUAAACAGAGAAUCUGAAAUGAUGGAAGAUCUUGAACUUCAUUAUCUUGAGGAUUACCCUCUCCAGGAAAAAAAAACUCAAUAAGCAUUUGAAUAGGCAGUUGUGUUGAUGAAAUGGAUGCAUGUAUGCAUUAAGUUGGCAUUUGAUUUGGACCUAGUACUUAACUUCGAUUAAAACAAUCUUCACCAAAAAGGUUUAUAGCAACUAGAGACCAGCACUAGUGAGUAUUUCAGUUUUUCAUGUUUGUUUUUCUUUGAUAUCUAAACCUUAUAAAAAAUUAAUUUUUAUUC
Non-coding RNA from Lactuca sativa (garden lettuce), 1044 nucleotides. Lineage: Eukaryota; Viridiplantae; Streptophyta; Magnoliopsida; Asterales; Asteraceae. The record is from RefSeq and is a predicted model, not a curated record.